AUGCCUACGGGACGCAGCAGUGAGGAAUAUUGGUCAAUGGGCGCGAGCCUGAACCAGCCAAGUCGCGUGAGGGAAGACGGUCCUAUGGAUUGUAAACCUCUUUUGUCGGGGAGCAAAAGACGCCACGCGUGGCGUUCCGAGAGUACCCGAAGAAAAAGCAUCGGCUAACUCCGUGCCAGCAGCCGCGGUAAUACGGAGGAUGCGAGCGUUAUCCGGAUUUAUUGGGUUUAAAGGGUGCGCAGGCGGCACGGCAAGCCGGCGGUCAA
Molecule: ribosomal RNA, 266 nt
Filed under: uncultured bacterium
Lineage: Bacteria
Description: partial 16S ribosomal RNA
Rfam family: Bacterial small subunit ribosomal RNA
Source: RNAcentral